This 500-nucleotide ribosomal RNA is filed under the name uncultured bacterium. RNAcentral's name for it is "bacterial SSU rRNA". It matches the Rfam family "Bacterial small subunit ribosomal RNA", at positions 15 to 518 of the family's 1533-position model. The record is from RNAcentral.
GAUCAUGGCUCAGGAUGAACGCUGGCGGCGUGCUUAACACAUGCAAGUCGAACGGAGUUUUAACGGAAGUUUCGGAUGGAAGUUAAGAACUUAGUGGCGGACGGGUGAGUAACGCGUGGGUAACCUGCCUCAGUACAGGGGGAUAACAGUUAGAAAUGACUGCUAACACCGCAUAAUAUAGUGAAACCGCAUGAUUUUGCUAUCAAAUAUUUAUAGGUAUGAGAUGGGCCCGCGUCUGAUUAGCUAGUUGGUGGGGUAAAGCCUACCAAGGCGACGAUCAGUAGCCGGCUUGAGAGAGUGACCGGCCACAUUGGGACUGAGACACGGCCCAAACUCCUACGGGAGGCAGCAGUGGGGAAUAUUGGACAAUGGGGGAAACCCUGAUCCAGCGAACCGCCGCGUGAGUGAAGAAGUAUUUCGGUAUGUAAAGCUCUAUCAGCAGGGAAGAUAAUGACAGUACCUGACUAAGAAGCCCCGGCUAACUACGUGCCAGCAGCCGC